CUGAAAAGUUGUAAUCAAUGAUUCAUUUACAUUGAAUUGAGGGCUUAGGCCAUUUGGC
This 58-nucleotide transfer RNA is filed under the name Longicollum sp. (in: thorny-headed worms). RNAcentral describes it as "tRNA-Val". The record is from RNAcentral. Lineage: Eukaryota; Metazoa; Acanthocephala; Palaeacanthocephala; Echinorhynchida; Pomphorhynchidae.